AUUGAACACUGGCGGAAUGCUUUACACAUGCCAGUCGAACGGCAGCACGGGGGCAGCCCUGGUGGCGAGUGGCGAACGGGUGAGUAAUACAUCGGAACGUGCCCGGUCGUGGGGGAUAACGUAGCGAAAGUUACGCUAAUACCGCAUACGAUCUGAGGAUGAAAGCGGGGGACCUUCGGGCCUCGCGCGAUCGGAGCGGCCGAUGUCAGAUUAGGUAGUUGGUGGGGUAAAGGCCUACCAAGCCGACGAUCUGUAGCUGGUCUGAGAGGACGACCAGCCACACUGGGACUGAGACACGGCCCAGACUCCUACGGGAGGCAGCAGUGGGGAAUUUUGGACAAUGGGCGCAAGCCUGAUCCAGCCAUUCCGCGUGCAGGACGAAGGCCUUCGGGUUGUAAACUGCUUUUGUACGGAACGAAAAGGCUCUGGCUAAUACCUGGGGCUCAUGACGGUACCGUAAGAAUAAGCACCGGCUAACUACGUG
This 484-nucleotide ribosomal RNA is filed under the name uncultured bacterium. Its description in RNAcentral is "partial 16S ribosomal RNA". It matches the Rfam family "Bacterial small subunit ribosomal RNA", at positions 30 to 507 of the family's 1533-position model. The record is from RNAcentral.